This 1854-nucleotide long non-coding RNA is filed under the name Mytilus galloprovincialis (Mediterranean mussel). Lineage: Eukaryota; Metazoa; Mollusca; Bivalvia; Mytilida; Mytilidae. The record is from RNAcentral.
GUAAUUUCGCUACCUCCAAUGGUAGACGCUACAACGAUGGGUGUCGUCAAGAAAGACACGCUUAAAGGAAUCAGCUAGGAAUUAGACGAUCACCAUUGGUAUAGGUGAGUUGUUUAAUAGUUGUUGCAUUGGGAUAAAUGCAUGUUUUGGAUUAAUUCAUAAUCAGGAAUAGCAGGGAAGGAAAGAAACGUGUUGCUACGUGAACCCGGAAAGGCCGGGACGAAUUUCAAAAAAAAAUCUAGAGACGAUCGUUCUGAGUGUGCCACCUACACAUUCAAACGUGUAGACAAGCACAGUAUUCCCUAUCUAUGUAAUGUGUUUUCAUAAUUAUGUGAUAUAGGGCAAAAAAAGGUAGCAGUUUUUUGUGUCGUGUUGUUAAGCAUUUCCAGGGGAGAUAAUGUUAUUUUUCACGGUGUGUUUGAUAGGUUUGUUACAUUGUAACAUUAUAUAAUACACACUGAUAAAGUGGAUUAAAAUAGCCUCUCACACUCAAUUAACUGAAUUUCAAUUAUUCUAUUUACCGUAGUGCUAUUAUAUAAGACUUCGGAGGUUCAUAUCACUAAUAUUAAACGUUUUUAUAUUGGAUUUUUUUUACUAUUGUUAUUGAACGGUUCAUAGUAAAAAAAAAUCCGAUAAAACCGUUGAAUGUAAAUAUGAACCUCAGAAGUCUUAUAUACAUUGUCCUUUAAUAUAAGACCGGAGGUUCAUAUCAUUUACAUUCAACAUUUUUUAUCGAUUUUUUUUUGUUUACUUUCAAUGUUGAACGAUUCUACGGUUCAACAUUAGUAGUUUUAAAAAAUCCGAUAAAAAUUAAUGGUUCAACAUUGAUAGUAAAAAAAAUCCGAUAAACAUGUUGAAUGUAAAUGAUAUGAAACUCUGAAGCCUUACAUUAUUGGACUAUCGUUUAUUAGUUCUUUAUCCUAACUAAAUGUUUUUUGUGGUGUAUAUUACAAAAAAAGAGGGUCUUUUAAAAACACCAAAAUACCUUUAAAACAAUCCUACAAUAUCUGUUUACAGAAUGAGAGAGAUAUUUCGUAUUCUAAACCUAAUUUUUCUCACAUGUUUGUUAGAUAUGUUGUAAAUACAGACAAAUGUUUAGUACGUAUACCCAUCCCCUCUAUUUCAAUUCAUUAGUUCAAGAUACAGCUCUGAAGAAUAUGCAAUAACCUAACAUUGAUAAUUUAGCUAACAAUAAGUUCAGUACAUCUUUCUAACAAGUGAAGACCAAUGAAAACAUUUGAUAUGAUUUGAAAACAUGGUCAAUUAAGUAGGAUCUUGUGGUUUCGUAGACAUAAAUGAUAAUUCAACAUUUUCGAUUUAUAUAUUUUUUUUUAUUUCAUAUUCUAGUAUAUUUAAUAACAUGUUUAUAUUUUGUGACGCAUCUGAUGUAUAAAUCCAGUGCCAGAUCCUGGAAAGAGCUCUUAGUUCCGAUCCGUUUGUACGGGGAACAUGUGGUUGCAACCCGGCCCUUCUUUAAUUGCCUGUUCGAUUUUUUGUUUGCAGUGUCGAAAAGGGAGAAAGACAGCAGUUUUAUCAAGAAGUUAUGUGAAAGUUCUGCUAUACAUCUGACAGUCAGGAAUAAUUCUGAAGUACACAUGUCGACCAGAGGCAUGGAACUGAGAGGAGAGGGUACCAGAUGCUUAUCUGAGAUUCCAAUUUGAACUAAAGAAAGCAAUAUAUAAAGAUAUGUUGGAGAAAUAAUCUAUAUGAAUAAAGUUAUGCCACAAAAGGAACUUCUUUUUUUAUAUACAGAAUUUGUCAAACGUAUCCAUAACAUCUAAGAGAUGUGAAUGCAUCCUUCAUAGCCUUGUAAUACUGAUGGUAAUAAUUUAUAUAAUUUCUGAGAUGAUAUAG